Molecule: ribosomal RNA, 114 nt
Filed under: Oryzias javanicus (javanese ricefish)
Lineage: Eukaryota; Metazoa; Chordata; Actinopteri; Beloniformes; Adrianichthyidae
Source: RNAcentral
GCUUACGGCCACACACCUGAACACGCCGAUCUCGUCUGAUCUCGGAAGCUAAGCAGGGCGGGCCUGGUUAGUACUUGGAUGGGAGACCGCUGGGAAUACCAGGUGCUGUAAGUU